CUCAGGCCUCCUGGGGGUGUCCCCAGUGCAGCCAUGAUGAUAAUCACAGCUACCAUUCACCAAGCCCUGCCCACAGUCUAACCUACUCUAUUCACAACACUCCCAGCAGCAAGGCAAGUGAGGUGCUGCCGUCAUCCAGGCUGGACAGUUCAGUGAUUUGCCUGAGGCCCCACAGCAGAGUUCAACUGGAGACAGAGAAACCAGCUAGAGGCAGAGGGAGGUAACACGGAGUCCCCCAGAAAGGUCUGGGCUGUGCGUGCUUCAGGUAACCUCACUUGACCUUCAGGAGAACGAGAAGGCUGCCUGAUCAGAGAGUCUCUGAAGAAGAUUCUGUGGCUACAGGCUUCAGCAGAGUGUGAGGGAGACCCCGGUUAUUUCCUCAGCUGUUUCCACCAAAUCCUCCUGUCUUUUGUGGCCAACACCCCAGGCAAGGCUUGGGGCCCCUGUCUGCUGCUGGACGCAGAGCCAUGAAGAAGAAGUUAGUGGUGCUGGGCCUGCUGGCCGUGGUCCUGGUGCUGGUCAUUGUCGGCCUCUGUCUCUGGCUGCCCUCAGCCUCCAAGGAACCUGACAACCAUGUGUACACCAGGGCUGCCGUGGCUGCGGAUG
Long non-coding RNA from Gorilla gorilla gorilla (western lowland gorilla), 606 nucleotides. RefSeq lists it as uncharacterized. NCBI's taxonomy places the organism in Eukaryota, Metazoa, Chordata, Mammalia, Primates, Hominidae. The record is from RefSeq and is a predicted model, not a curated record. The transcript is spliced from 3 exons.